RNAcentral lists this ribosomal RNA (24 nucleotides) under Trebouxia arboricola. RNAcentral's name for it is "partial 18S ribosomal RNA". Lineage: Eukaryota; Viridiplantae; Chlorophyta; Trebouxiophyceae; Trebouxiales; Trebouxiaceae. The record is from RNAcentral.
AGGAGACCUGCGGAAGGAUCAUGA